GGAGUUUGGACCGUGUCUCAGUUCCAAUGUGGGGGACCUUCCUCUCAGAACCCCUACUGAUCGAUGGCUCGGUGGGCCGUUACCCCGCCGACUACCUAAUCAGACGCAUCCCCAUCCCAUAGCGGUGAAUCUUUAUUCCAUCUCAGAUGUCUUUAAUGGAAACCAUAGGGCAUUAAUCUUACUUUCGCAAGGCUAUUCCCUACUUAUGGGCAGGUUGGAUACGCGAUACUCACCCGUGCGCCGGUCGUCAUCAAAGAAAGCAAGCUUUCUUCAUGUUACCCCUCGACUUGCAUGUGUUAAGCCUGUAGCUAGCGUUCAUC
Molecule: ribosomal RNA, 320 nt
Filed under: uncultured Prevotella sp.
Lineage: Bacteria; Pseudomonadati; Bacteroidota; Bacteroidia; Bacteroidales; Prevotellaceae
Description: partial 16S ribosomal RNA
Source: RNAcentral